RNAcentral lists this ribosomal RNA (253 nucleotides) under uncultured bacterium. RNAcentral describes it as "partial 16S ribosomal RNA". It matches the Rfam family "Bacterial small subunit ribosomal RNA", at positions 524 to 776 of the family's 1533-position model. The record is from RNAcentral.
UACGUAGGGUGCAAGCGUUGUCCGGAGUUACUGGGCGUAAAGCGUGUGCAGGCGGCUCUUUGCGUCGGUGGUGAAAUCUCCUGGCUUAACUGGGAGGGGGCCAUCGAUACGGGGGAGCUUGAGGGCUAGAGAGGGAAGUAGAACUCCCGGUGGACCAGUGAAAUGGGUAGAUAUCGGGAAGAAUACCUGAGGUGAAGACGGCUUCCUGGCUAGCACCUGACGCUCAUACACGAAAGCUUGGGGAGCAAACAGG